AGAGUUUGAUUAUGGCUCAGGAUGAACGCUAGCGGCAGGCUAACACAUGCAAGUCGAGGGGCAUCGCGGUGUAGCAAUACACUGGCGGCGACCGGCGAAAGGGUGAGUAACGCGUGAGCAACGUGCCCGGUAUUGGGGGAUAGUCAUUGGAAACGAUGCGUAAUACCCCGUAACAACAAGGAUCGCAUGGUUCAUGUUUAAAAGAUUUAUUGAUACCGGAUCGGCUCGCGUACCAUUAGGUAGACGGCGGGGUAACGGCCCACCGUGCCGACGAUGGUUAGGGGUUCUGAGAGGAAGGUCCCCCACAUUGGAACUGAGACACGGUCCAGACUCCUACGGGAGGCAGCAGUGAGGAAUAUUGGUCAGUGGCCGAGAGGCUGAACCAGCCAUGCCGCGUGCGGGAAGACGGCCCUAUGGGUUGUAAACCGCUUUUGUCGGGGAGCAAUAAGUGUUACGUGUAACACGAUGAGAGUACCUGGCGAAUAAGCAUCGGCUAACUCCGUGCCAGCCGCAGC
Molecule: ribosomal RNA, 515 nt
Filed under: uncultured bacterium
Lineage: Bacteria
Description: bacterial SSU rRNA
Rfam family: Bacterial small subunit ribosomal RNA
Source: RNAcentral